Molecule: long non-coding RNA, 3292 nt
Filed under: Homo sapiens (human)
Lineage: Eukaryota; Metazoa; Chordata; Mammalia; Primates; Hominidae
Description: HSALNT0399967
Source: RNAcentral
GGCCAAGUUCAGGGCUGGUGCUCUCGUUCAGAUAGAUUUAGCUGGUGGUGCAGAGAUCCGUGAGCUUGCUUUUACAGGACUUUAAUGAUAUAUAAAAGCAGCACGAGGUGCUCCUGACUGUGGAUUAAUUUGGAGAUGACUUUCUCUGUUGAAGAGUAGCAAGACUCUCGCGAGUUCUUAAAAAUGCACUUGUUUGGUAUGAGAAUGAAAAGCAGUGGCUGAAGAACCAAUCUUCAAUGGGCAAGCCUUCUCUGGGUCUUGCUCCGUCACCGAGUCUGGAGUGCAGUGGUAUGAUUAUGGCUUACUUGAACUUCUGGGCUCAAGCAAUCCUCCCACCUCAGCCUCCAGAAUAGCUGGGACUAUAAGUGUGGAUCAUCAACCCUGGCUAAUUUUUUGAUUUUUUAUAGAGACGAGGUCUCACCAUGUUGCCCAGACAAGUCUUUAACUCCUGGGCUCAAGCAAUCCUCCCACCUCAGCCUCCUAAAGUGCCGGGAUUACAGGCAUGAGCCACUGUGCCUGACUUCCAGAUUUGCAUCUUAAAGGGCUGUUCCAUUGAAUGUCUGUUCUAACACGUGCCAUUUGGGAUCCCUUGGAAUCUUCAUGUACAGAACUGGUUGCUGCCUCGUUGAGUCGGUGGGGACAGAAUAGCUCCUGGUUGACAGCAUGGGUUGUGCAGAAGGACGGAUCCUGCAGACAUCAAUAUCUGGCUUUGAGUGGCACAAAGAAAUAAAGGAAUGUGGAUUCAGACCUCACUGGGAUGCUUGGCAAUUCUAAUUCUACCCCAGACUGCAAAUGGACACACAACUGUUGUGACUUUUGUUGAAGAGGAGAAGGAUGGGUGAGCAUGUGACGUUGGGAAAUUGUAUUUUCUUCUUCGAGUUCUUCUGUUUCCGAAUAUUUAAUCCUACUGUUUUCUUCUUUAGUGAAGGUCUCUUUAGUCAAUAAUCUCUUUGCUGAAAUUGCUUCGGGCAGCACAGAAGCUGGAUUCAGAAGCACACAGGUCUGGGGAUGCAGGCUUCGGCCAGCCUGAUGCAAGGAAAGACUGCCAUCUCGUGGUCAGCUCAAUCCUGGCACCUUGGUGAGGGACCAGGCUGCAGAAAACCAGGCUUGGGGAGGAAACGGUGCUGCAAACUGGAUUUCUGCCGGACAGUGUGGAUGCCCUUAGAAAACACCCAGAAAAGAGCUGAGUGCCCCCCAAGACUUGCCCUGAAUUCUUUCAUGUGCAAUAUCCGAAAACCCUCUCUUGGGGCCUGGAUCAGGACCCCUUUCCUAUAACAUCUUUCUGGCGACAACAAAGGGACAAUGGUGUGGAAUCCCCCUUCCCAAAUGCUACUUUUAGGCUGUUUCCCAUAUAAGGUUCAUGACCCCCAGUGAGGAUGAAACUGCCUGCAAGGUUUGUCUUCUCUCCUGUUCACUGGUUACUCAGCCAGGCUGAUUCAUGGGCUUCUCAAAGGAGCUUGUUUAUCAGAAGCUUGUCUAAGACACCACGUCUUCCAGAAAAUCUCACCUGAGUCACCAACAGAUUCCUCUAAGAGUCUGUAAGCCACUCCUGACCAGCAGGAAACCCCAACAGAGGCAAAGAAUAGGAAAUUAAAUAUUUCGUCAAGAAAAAAUGAGAGGCUGGGUGCGGUGGCUCAUGCCUAUAUCCCAGCACUUUAGGAGGCCUAAGCGGGCGGAUCAUUUGAGGUCAGGAGUUUGAGACCAGCCCGGCCAACAUGGUGAAACCCUGUCUCUACUAAAAAUACAAAAACAAUUAGCUGGGCAUGGUGGUGGGUGCUUGUAAUCCCAGCUACUGGGGGAGGCUGAGGCGGGAGAAUCGCUGAAACCCAGGAGACAGAAGUUGCUGUGAGCCGAGACCACACCACUGCACUCCAGCCUGGGUGAGAGUGAGACUGUCUCAAAAAAAAAAAAAAAAAAAAAAAAAAAGCAAGAAAGCUCCCAUUUAGAUCACUCGGACAAAAGAUUUCUUUUUGUGCCAAAAUGUUCCACUAGGCUUCCAGUUUUUACCACAUAACUUGACAGUCAUGCAAGACUUAAGUGUAUUUUCAGCUAUCCUUUCUCUUUCAUUUAUUUCUGUUUAAUAAGCUCUGUCCAUUGAUUCUAGUUAGUACAUUAUAUAUCUUUUUAAUCACUUACCUGCAGUGAGCAUCUUUCCAUGUUGGUAAAUACCGGUGCUACUACUGUUACUACUGAGUACUUAUUCCAUGUCAAAUCCUCUGCCAAGCAUUUUCAAGCAUUGUCUCAUUGCCUUCUUGCCACAACCCUAUGAAGAGGCCGUGACUGUCCUCAUCCAAUGGAGGAGGAAGCUAAGGCUGAGAGCAAUUAACACAGCUGUGAGUGAACAGGUAGGAUUUAAAGCCAGGCAGUAUGAUUCCGGAGCCUACGCUUUUAAUCACUGUUAUUUUACUCUCCUCCACUCCCCAAAUAUACUGCAUUUUUUUUGUGUGAUUGUAUUGUAUUAUUCUGUUCUAGAUGUACUAUGAUUGAUUUCGUCCAUGCUGUAAUUACACUUCGGUUGGUUUUAGUUUUCACUACUACAAAUGGUGUUGCAACGAACGUCUUUGUGGGCAAAUCUUUACAGGUCAUGAAUGACCCUUUCCUUAGGACACAUAUUGCCAAGCUGAUCUCCACAAAGGUAGUACACGCCCAUCAUAUUGUACAAAAGUAUUCUUUGCCCUCCACCCUUGACACUGGGUUGCAUCUAUUUUUUAAUUAUUGCUGUUAGGAUAGAAGAACAAGGCUGACACAUUGUUGUUUCAGUUUGUAAGCUAGAACACUUCAUUGCACAUUAGCUGUAUUCCUUAGGUGUAUUUCUUGUUCAUGUCCUUUGCCCUCUGAGGUUUGUCUCUUUAUCACAGAUUUGAGAACUUUUUGUAUAUGUCUUAUAUUUUUAGAAUUAAUAAAUUUAGGGCAUAAACCCAAUAGAAAGAAAAACAGACUCAUUCUGUGUUUUGCAUAGCAUCUUACCUCCUAUCCUUCCUCCACAUUGAUAGUAAAGCAUAAGAAAUGAUUCCUGUGCCCAGAGGUUGAAAGCAGGUCCAUUUUAACAAAGUCACUUGGAAGCAUCCCCUUUCUCCAAAAGAAGCUCCCAGCUUCUCCUCCUGCUCUUCGGUCUCAGAGGAAGGGAAGAUGUUGGAGAGGAGCAUAAAAACUUACUUUGGGCCAGGCGCGGUGGCUCACGCCUGUAAUCCCAGCACUUUGGGAGGCCGAGAAGGGCAGAUCAUGAGGUCAGGAGAUCGAGACUAUCCUGGCUAACACAGUGAAACCUUGUCUCUACUAAAAAUACAAAAAA